RNAcentral lists this Y RNA (114 nucleotides) under Aotus nancymaae (Ma's night monkey). Its description in RNAcentral is "Y RNA (ENSANAG00000008265.1)". It matches the Rfam family "Y RNA". From Rfam's summary of the family: Y RNAs are components of the Ro ribonucleoprotein particle (Ro RNP), in association with Ro60 and La proteins. The Y RNAs and Ro60 and La proteins are well conserved, but the function of the Ro RNP is not known. The record is from Rfam by way of RNAcentral. Lineage: Eukaryota; Metazoa; Chordata; Mammalia; Primates; Aotidae.
GGCUGGUCCGAAGGUAGUGAGUUAUCUCAAUUGAUUGUUCACAGUCAGUUACAGAUUGAACUCCUUGUUCUACUCUUUUCCCCCCUUCUCACUACUGCACUUGACUAGUCUUAA